UGUGCAUGUGCAACAGAGUGUGAAGCAUCUUGAGGGAAAAGUUAUGCAUAAGAGGAAUCAGAUGUGGUGUGCAGGAGAGAUGACUGAGCUGGUAUGGUCAUGUGGUGAGAAUGGAUGAGGACAGUUGUGUAAAGAUGUGCUGAUCUCUAAGUGUGGAGCAUGAUCUUUGAACAAUGGGCCUCACAGAAGCAAUGACUAGUGACUGAGACCUUUGGUGUUGUGCUGUACUUGAGAGGACCAGUCAAGCCAAGUGUAUCCAUGCUAGUGGCAUGUAAAGAACAUCUUUUGAAUGU
Octopus sinensis (East Asian common octopus) is the source of this 293-nucleotide long non-coding RNA. RefSeq lists it as uncharacterized. NCBI's taxonomy places the organism in Eukaryota, Metazoa, Mollusca, Cephalopoda, Octopoda, Octopodidae. The record is from RefSeq and is a predicted model, not a curated record. The transcript has 3 exons.